UAGGGAAUCUUCCACGAUGGGCGAAAGCCUGAUGGAGCAACGCCGCGUGUGUGAUGAAGGCUUUCGGGUCGUAAAGCACUGUUGUAUGGGAAGAACAGCUAGAAUAGGAAAUGAUUUUAGUUUGACGGUACCAUACCAGAAAGGGACGGCUAAAUACGUACCAG
RNAcentral lists this ribosomal RNA (164 nucleotides) under uncultured bacterium. Its description in RNAcentral is "partial 16S rRNA". It matches the Rfam family "Bacterial small subunit ribosomal RNA", at positions 355 to 511 of the family's 1533-position model. The record is from RNAcentral.